UACGUAGGGUGCAAGCGCUAAUCGGAAUUACUGGGCGUAAAGCGUGCGCAGGCGGUGAUGUAAGACAGUUGUGAAAUCCCCGGGCUCAACCUGGGAACUGCAUCUGUGACUGCAUCGCUGGAGUGCGGCAGAGGGGGAUGGAAUUCCGCGUGUAGCAGUGAAAUGCGUAGAUAUGCGGAGGAACACCGAUGGCGAAGGCAAUCCCCUGGGCCCGCACUGACGCUCAUGCACGAAAGCGUGGGGAGCAAACAGG
RNAcentral lists this ribosomal RNA (253 nucleotides) under uncultured bacterium. RNAcentral describes it as "partial 16S ribosomal RNA". It matches the Rfam family "Bacterial small subunit ribosomal RNA", at positions 524 to 776 of the family's 1533-position model. The record is from RNAcentral.